AUAAUUAACUCAGCAAUUACUUAGUAAAGUUAAGACAGUUGUAAACAUUUUAAUUGAACACAUUAUUUGUUAGUUUGCCUGGCGCGCAUGUGAAAUGACUGAUAUUGGUAGUGCACUCUUCGUGUGAUUCUUGGCAGUUUCAGAACUACAAAGAUCUUCCCCUAAAUCAUGUGAGUUAUGAUUGUUGAUCUACUUGGUCUUGUAUAUAGAAU
RNAcentral lists this long non-coding RNA (212 nucleotides) under Elaeis guineensis (African oil palm). RNAcentral's name for it is "long non-coding RNA (EGUI_LNC011172)". Lineage: Eukaryota; Viridiplantae; Streptophyta; Magnoliopsida; Arecales; Arecaceae. The record is from RNAcentral.